RNAcentral lists this small RNA (806 nucleotides) under Pan troglodytes (chimpanzee). RNAcentral's name for it is "processed transcript". The record is from RNAcentral. Lineage: Eukaryota; Metazoa; Chordata; Mammalia; Primates; Hominidae.
AAACCAAGCUCACGGAAAAUGUACUUAUCUGGGUAUGGUGUGGAGCUAGCAAUUAAGAGUACAGAAUACAAAGCACUGGAUGAUACCCAAGUUAAAACUGUGACUAAUACUACUGUAGAGGAUGAGACUGAAACAAAUGAAGUUCAAGGAUUUCUCUUUGGGAAACUAAAAGAAAUAUAUUCAGAUCUUAGAGAUAAUCUGACAGCAUUCCAAAAAUACCUGAUUGAGAGUAACAAACAAAUGACGCCUUUGAAAGUCUGGGAACUACAAGAUCUUAGUUUUCAAGCAGCUUCUCAAAUAAUGUCCGCUCCAGUUUAUGAUGCCAUUAAAUUAAUGAAAGACAUUUCACAGAACUUCCCCAUAAAAGCCAGAUUAAGAAUGAAUAUAUUGAUAUGCCUCUUUCAGUCAACUUUAAAUGUCAAGAAUUUGAGAAGUCGUCAUUUAUAUAAUAAAACAUGAAAUAUAUAUGGGUGUGUAUAAAUGUCAUAUCUGUUUAGCCAUAAUACUUUUAAUUAAUGGCCAUUAUAAAAAUUAUUAGAUCAAAUACAAAUAAGGUAAAAUAACUUUAGUCUUGAUCAGACAGUUGAUUAGCUCUAUUGAUGCUAAGUCAGUAUAACCGUUCAGAGGUUCUGAUGCAAAACUCUGCUGUUAAUCUGUAAUUAAGAAAAAAUUAUAAAAUAUGCUAACAUUGCUUAAUGGCUAAAUUGUAGGCUUGAGCAUAUCUCUAAAACCACUUGUGAGACAAUCUGUAAAUGUUUGUUGAAAUGAAAUAUUUGCUAAAUAAAUGAAAAAUUUGCCUUAUUAAA